UGGGAAUGAAUGAGUCUGCGCAUUUGUC
Molecule: non-coding RNA, 28 nt
Filed under: Mus musculus (house mouse)
Lineage: Eukaryota; Metazoa; Chordata; Mammalia; Rodentia; Muridae
Source: RNAcentral